GAUGAACGCUGGCGGCGUGCCUAAUACAUGCAAGUCGAGCGAACGGACGAGAAGCUUGCUUCUCUGAUGUUAGCGGCGGACGGGUGAGUAACACGUGGAUAACCUACCUAUAAGACUGGGAUAACUUCGGGAAACCGGAGCUAAUACCGGAUAAUAUUUUGAACCGCAUGGUUCAAAAGUGAAAGACGGUCUUGCUGUCACUUAUAGAUGGAUCCGCGCUGCAUUAGCUAGUUGGUAAGGUAACGGCUUACCAAGGCAACGAUGCAUAGCCGACCUGAGAGGGGGAUCGGCCACACUGGAACUGAGACACGGUCCAGACUCCUACGGGAGGCAGCAGUAGGGAAUCUUCCGCAAUGGGCGAAAGCCUGACGGAGCAACGCCGCGUGAGUGAUGAAGGUCUUCGGAUCGUAAAACUCUGUUAUUAGGGAAGAACAUAUGUGUAAGUAACUGUGCACAGCUUGACGGUACCUAAUCAGAAAGCCACGGCUAACUACGUG
This 497-nucleotide ribosomal RNA is filed under the name uncultured bacterium. RNAcentral's name for it is "partial 16S ribosomal RNA". It matches the Rfam family "Bacterial small subunit ribosomal RNA", at positions 28 to 507 of the family's 1533-position model. The record is from RNAcentral.